RNAcentral lists this long non-coding RNA (2587 nucleotides) under Xyrichtys novacula (pearly razorfish). Lineage: Eukaryota; Metazoa; Chordata; Actinopteri; Labriformes; Labridae. The record is from RNAcentral.
UUGCAGGCUUGUGAUUGUACACUUGUGUGUGGGAAACCCAGGAAAUCCAGGCUCCCAUGCGCCAGCAUCCAUUGUGUUUAGCUUCCUCCUGUGUGCUAGUGUGUGUGUGUGUGUGUAGCUGCAGUGCUUCCCUCUCUCGUGGCUCUAAUGAGAAGCCGGAGGAAACCGGAGGAUUGCACUUGGCAAAGUAAACUGAAACACUCUGAUGAAUGGAUCAGGGGAGCUGUGUUUGCAGGAUUUACUUUGAUUAAGUCCACGCCGAAGUUCACCAUCAUCCAAGUUCACUCUUACUUUCUGUUCGCUCCUCCUUUUUUCCCUCCAUCAGAUCUGUGCCUGAGGAUCCUCUCUGCUGACAAUAGGACAGUGUGUCCAGAACAUCCACGACAAAGACUGCAGAUCAUAUCGUGAGUGGAAGAGCGACAACCUGAUGAACUCUCUUUGUGAUGGUGCGUCAUUGACUCCACUUGGCUCAGUUUCACUUUACGAUUAACUCCAAAGUCCCCAUGAGGGAAAAAUAAUCGUCACAGUGCAUUUUUCACAGAUGACUACAAGGACUGGAUGAGCUUCAAAUGAAAUGUUGAGCCGCCAGAAUGUAGGUCUUGCACCUCAGUCAGCUGACUCAUAAAGUUCCCUAAUUUGUCCCUAAAGGUGAUAGAAACCUGCCUCUGAUUGUCCUGUUUUUUCAGCAUUCCAACCACAAUCACCACCAAAUUCCACCACAUGUGGAAUGGCAGCAAAAAGGCUGUCGUUGAUCGCCGCUGAUUGUUUCCAUUCAAGUUAAUGUGUCAAAUUCCACCGGUUUCUUUCCAGCCCCCUGCGGUUCAGUGGGCUCGAUCGCCAGAGUUCUGUUUUUUCCGGACGCCGCAACAUGCCACAUCAAUUCAGCACAGAUUAGCCCAUGCUGGAAAGGAAGUCGGACACAGACACAAAAUUAAACAUCCAACAUGACGUGUUUCAGGCGGAUCGUAUUUCACACCAUGCAAACGUGGGUAUGGACGAACAAGUGAAAGGUUUUCAGACGUCAUUUCACCCUGUUGGCAAUAUGGAUGAUGAGAUGCUAAUUCUGGAAGUCCAAAAUCACGUAAUAAUCGAUGACCUGUCUCAUCCCUUAUAUAAGUACAAUCAUAAAAAGAAUAUGACAUGGGAUUCCAUAGCCAAUUGAUAUCGCGCAAUUGCAUGUGAAUUUGCAGAUUCUUGUGAGUCCUCAUGAUUCCCACUGUCUGAAAUUUGCCAUGAAAUUUGCCUCAUAAACGUAUCUGGUAGGAUUUGGCAGACAGUGAAAAUCGCUGCCAUUCUGCAUUCAGUGGAGUUUGUGGGUAAGGGUGCACAGGGUGGACUUAUGGUGCGUUUCAGUUACCAGAAGUCAGAAGUCGGAGCUGAAAAUGUCAUCACACCCUAGUGCCCAGCGUUUCAGAUACCAAGUUGGAAAAAAGCAAAAUCGGAGGCAGAAACAAGAUAGAUACAUCUACGAAAGUUAUUUAAGUGCUUGCCUUUGUUCAAAUAUAAGGCAAGCACUUCAGGCCUCCGAUUUUUCUUUUUUCCGACUUGGUAACUGACCUCUGAGGUAACUCAAACGCAGCAUUAGUGUCUUAUCCUCAUACAGUUUGUCUUGUUAGUAGCAGGUGCAGGGAAUCCAACUUGGGUCUUCGCACCAAAACCUCACUAACUCUCAUGCACACCUUCCUUCCCUCCACGAUAACACGAGCGUUGAAUCAGUCCUGCCGAUGAGACCAUCAUUUCCUGAAAGUUGCCCAAAACUGUUCACGAGUCUCCGGAUAAUCUUUUCCUGGAAAAACUGUCUGAUGUUCUUUAAUUUGUCUCAUUUUUAUCUGGUUCAAAGCACAGACUUUCAAAAUCAGGGCGAAUAAUCCCCAAACUCUCCGUGCGCAGGGCGGGAUGCCAGCAGCAAGGAGAGAACAGGAAAAUAAAGUCCUUGUGUAAUUUUAACGAUGGGAUGUCCCGUGUCUGUCUGCACAUGUCUGCAGUCUGUAGGUCAGAGCAUUGUUACCCAGACCUGUUUUCCACGGGUUUAUCUCAGGUCACUCUGUUUUGGAGGUUAUUAUGACAUUCUCUCUCUGUUUUAAGGUGUUUUCUCUCGGCUCGUCACAUUCCAUCUGCGUGGAUGUUCAGAAGAGACCAAACAUUCAGGAGCAGUAACACAAGGUUAGCGAGGGUCACCGCUGUUCUUACACAACAUGAAGUUCACUGACCCUGUGAGUAUCUGUGCAGCAAAACACAAGGUUGAAAACAGAGAAUAACACCGCCGCUGCAGCGGGGAAAUCCUUCAUGAAAAACAAUCCGGAUCCAGGAGUCUGUGUUCUUGGCUCUGGUCGGAGUCCUCGAAGAAGCUCAGAAGUGUUUCUGAAAUUCUUGGAAGAAUGUCUCAGCUCCGGACAAUCGUAGCACAUCUGAGAGCUUUAAUCCUUGCAUCUGGGUUAGAUUAGACGGAGAAUUCGGUGAAUCAGGUUGAAUCAUGUGUGCUCUCCUCUGCGGCUGACAUUGUGAUGGUUUUUGAAGACCUCAUGUGGAGAUGUGAACCUGUAACUGCCAAGAUUUUACAGAGGAGAACAUAACAAUAAAGGAGUGG